UACGAAGGGUGCGAGCGUUAUUCGGAAUAACUGGGCGUAAAGGGCGCGUAGGCGGUUUUCUAAGUUGACGGUUAAAAGCCAUGGCUUAACCAUGGAGAUGCCGGCGAUACUGGAAUGACUAGAGGGUAGUAGAGAGGAGUGGAAUUCUCGGAGUAGCGGUAAAAUGCGUAGAUCUCGAGAGGAACACCGAUGGCGAAGGCAGCUCCUUGGGCUACAUCUGACGCUAAGGCGCGAAAGCGUGGGGAGCAAACAGG
Molecule: ribosomal RNA, 254 nt
Filed under: uncultured bacterium
Lineage: Bacteria
Description: partial 16S ribosomal RNA
Rfam family: Bacterial small subunit ribosomal RNA
Source: RNAcentral